This 108-nucleotide ribosomal RNA is filed under the name Hymenoscyphus sp. UBCM20. RNAcentral's name for it is "partial 5.8S ribosomal RNA". It matches the Rfam family "5.8S ribosomal RNA", at positions 50 to 154 of the family's 154-position model. From Rfam's summary of the family: 5.8S ribosomal RNA (5.8S rRNA) is a component of the large subunit of the eukaryotic ribosome. It is transcribed by RNA polymerase I as part of the 45S precursor that also contains 18S and 28S rRNA. Lineage: Eukaryota; Fungi; Ascomycota; Leotiomycetes; Helotiales; Helotiaceae. The record is from RNAcentral.
GAAAUGCGAUAAGUAAUGUGAAUUGCAGAAUUCAGUGAAUCAUCGAAUCUUUGAACGCACAUUGCGCCCCUUGGUAUUCCGAGGGGCAUGCCUGUUCGAGCGUCAUUA